Molecule: long non-coding RNA, 423 nt
Organism: Gavialis gangeticus (Gharial)
Lineage: Eukaryota; Metazoa; Chordata; Crocodylia; Gavialidae
Exons: 2
Source: RefSeq, a predicted model, not a curated record
GUUGUUCUCAGUUUCUUCUGCUGACACUGCUCAACUUCACAGAAAAUCCUUAAAUAGUCAUUAAAAUUGAGACUGAAACCCAAAUUUCCCAGACACAUAAAUUAAGGGACCAAGAUGUAAAGUAAUUCUGUUACAUUGACAGAGCUAGGUAAGACCAAGGGUUUCCAAUUAUGCUCUAAUACAAAGCACAUUAUGUUCCUGUUAAAUUUACUGUGAAGAGCAGCAAGCUCUUUGAAAAUCAAAUAAAGCAACAAGAAAGGAUAAAUGAAUGGCUUCCACAAAUGCAUUAAUUCUAAUGUAACUGAAAUGGUAAUGAGUUCAUAAAAUUCAGAUAAAAUUAAUGUUGCUUAUGGCAGAAAACUUGAAAAAGAACUUAAUAAACCUUUUCACUUAUACCAUCAUUAAAAUAUAUGAAACAUCUCA